AGAAGCCUUGCAAGGUUAGGUCCAUUACGUAGAUUUUAUAAAUGCUCUUUUAACACACAACACAACACAACCAUCUUUGAGGGAAUAUUAGCAAAUAUUGUUUUCAGUUCUUCUUUCCUUUGCUAGAAACUAUAUGUGUUAUAAACGAUUAUAAGCAUGGGGAAUAACUUGUAAUGAGUUCCUACCUUGUAAUUUACCUUGAGGGAAAAUCUUCUUGGCAUGUAUUCGUUUGCUUGUUAAUGAAGUUGAAACCAG
This 255-nucleotide unclassified non-coding RNA is filed under the name Hevea brasiliensis (rubber tree). Lineage: Eukaryota; Viridiplantae; Streptophyta; Magnoliopsida; Malpighiales; Euphorbiaceae. The record is from RNAcentral.